AUUGAACGCUGGCGGCAUGCUCUACACAUGCAAGUCGAACGGUAACAGGCCGCAAGGUGCUGACGAGUGGCGAACGGGUGAGUAAUGCAUCGGAACGUGCCCAGUCGUGGGGGAUAACUACUCGAAAGAGUAGCUAAUACCGCAUACGAUCUAUGGAUGAAAGCGGGGGACCGUAGGGCCUCGCGCGAUUGGAGCGGCCGAUGUCAGAUUAGGUAGUUGGUGGGGUAAAGGCUCACCAAGCCAACGAUCUGUAGCUGGUCUGAGAGGACGACCAGCCACACUGGGACUGAGACACGGCCCAGACUCCUACGGGAGGCAGCAGUGGGGAAUUUUGGACAAUGGGCGCAAGCCUGAUCCAGCAAUGCCGCGUGCAGGAAGAAGGCCUUCGGGUUGUAAACUGCUUUUGUACGGAACGAAACGGCUCUGGUUAAUACCCGGGGCUAAUGACGGUACCGUAAGAAUAAGCACCGGCUAACUACGUG
This 482-nucleotide ribosomal RNA is filed under the name uncultured bacterium. RNAcentral describes it as "partial 16S ribosomal RNA". It matches the Rfam family "Bacterial small subunit ribosomal RNA", at positions 30 to 507 of the family's 1533-position model. The record is from RNAcentral.